Molecule: ribosomal RNA, 513 nt
Filed under: uncultured bacterium
Lineage: Bacteria
Description: bacterial SSU rRNA
Rfam family: Bacterial small subunit ribosomal RNA
Source: RNAcentral
UAGAGUUUGAUCCUGGCUCAGGACGAACGCUGGCGGCGUGCUUAACACAUGCAAGUCACGGGGGCCCGCAAGGGCAACCGGCGAACGGGUGCGUAACACGUGACCAACCUGCCCUCGUGUGGGGGAUAGCCGGGCUAACGCCCGGGUAAUACCGCAUACGCUCUUUUGGGGGAGUCCCUGGGAGAGGAAAGCUCCGGCGCACGGGGAGGGGGUCGCGGCCUAUCAGCUAGUUGGGGGGGUAAUGGCCCACCAAGGCGACGACGGGUAGCUGGUCUGAGAGGAUGGCCAGCCACAUUGGGACUGAGAGACGGCCCAGACUCCUACGGGAGGCAGCAGUGGGGAAUCUUGCGCAAUGGCCGAAAGGCUGACGCAGCGACGCCGCGUGUGGGAGGACGCCUUUCGGGGUGUAAACCACUGUUGCCCGGGACGAAUAUCCUGCUUUGGCAGGAUUGACGGUACCGGGUGAGGAAGCACCGGCUAACUCCGUGCCAGCAGCCGCGGUACCCAAUCGCC